AGGCUUGGGUAUUUUAAUUUAAAAUAUUGUUUUGUGGAAUCAAUGAUAUGAAGUUUUUCAUCUUAGGCC
RNAcentral lists this transfer RNA (69 nucleotides) under Phlaeoba infumata. RNAcentral's name for it is "tRNA-His". The record is from RNAcentral. Lineage: Eukaryota; Metazoa; Arthropoda; Insecta; Orthoptera; Acrididae.